CAUGUAGGCGGUUGUUUAAGUCUGAUGUGAAGCCCUGGGCUCAACCCAGGAAGUGCAUUGGAUACUGGACAACUUGAGUACGGGAGAGGAAAGUGGAAUUUCGAGUGUAGGGGUGAAAUCCGUAGAUAUUCGAAGGAACACCAGUGGCGAAGGCGGCUUUCUGGACCGAUACUGACGCUGAGAUGCGAAAGCGUGGGGAGCAAACA
RNAcentral lists this ribosomal RNA (206 nucleotides) under uncultured bacterium. RNAcentral describes it as "partial 16S ribosomal RNA". It matches the Rfam family "Bacterial small subunit ribosomal RNA", at positions 568 to 774 of the family's 1533-position model. The record is from RNAcentral.